This 253-nucleotide ribosomal RNA is filed under the name uncultured bacterium. Its description in RNAcentral is "partial 16S ribosomal RNA". It matches the Rfam family "Bacterial small subunit ribosomal RNA", at positions 524 to 776 of the family's 1533-position model. The record is from RNAcentral.
UACGUAGGUGGCGAGCGUUGUCCGGAAUUACUGGGUGUAAAGGGAGUGUAGGCGGGAAUGCAAGUCAGAAGUGAAAACUAUGGGCUUAACCCAUAGCCUGCUUUUGAAACUGUAUUUCUUGAGUGAAGCAGAGGCAAGCGGAAUUCCUAGUGUAGCGGUGAAAUGCGUAGAUAUUAGGAGGAACACCAGUGGCGAAGGCGGCUUGCUGGGCUUUUACUGACGCUGAGGCUCGAAAGCGUGGGGAGCAAACAGG